RNAcentral lists this ribosomal RNA (440 nucleotides) under uncultured bacterium. RNAcentral describes it as "partial 16S ribosomal RNA". It matches the Rfam family "Bacterial small subunit ribosomal RNA", at positions 338 to 795 of the family's 1533-position model. The record is from RNAcentral.
CCUACGGGUGGCAGCAGUGGGGAAUAUUGCACAAUGGGGGGAACCCUGAUGCAGCGACGCCGCGUGAGUGAAGAAGUAUUUCGGUAUGUAAAGCUCUAUCAGCAGGGAAGAAAAUGACGGUACUUGACUACGACGCCCCGGCUAACUACGUGCCAGCCGCCUCGGUCAUACGUAGGGGGCAAGCGUUAUCCGGAUUUACUGGGUGUAAGGGGAGCGCAGACGGCUGUGCAAGUCUGGAGUGAAAGGCGGGGGCCCAACCCCCGGACUGCUCUGGAAACUGUAAAGCUGGAGUGCAGGAGAGGUAAGCGGAAUUCCUAGUGUAGCGGUGAAAUGCGUAGAUAUUAGGAGGAACACCAGUGGCGAAGGCGGCUUACUGGACUGCAACUGACGUUGAGGCUCGAAAGCGUGGGGAGCAAACAGGAUUAGAUACCCCGGUAGUC